Molecule: unclassified non-coding RNA, 253 nt
Filed under: Patescibacteria group bacterium
Lineage: Bacteria
Description: contains 16S-23S intergenic spacer region
Rfam family: Bacterial small subunit ribosomal RNA
Source: RNAcentral
UACGAAGGCCCCAAGCGUUAUCCGGAUUUAUUGGGCGUAAAGAGUUCAAAGGUGGCUUUAUAAGUCAAACGUUAAAUCCUGAUGCUCAACAUCAGGUCCGCGUUUGAAACUAUAAAGCUUGAGGAUGGGAGAGGCAGACGGAAUUGCCGGUGUAGCGGUAGAAUGCGUUAAUAUCGGCAAGAACACCAAUUGCGAAAGCAGUCUGCUGGAACAAUCCUGACACUAUAGAACGAAAGCGUGGGGAGCGAAUGGG